GAUGAACGCUGGCGGCGUGCCUAAUACAUGCAAGUCGAGCGAACAGACGAGGAGCUUGCUCCUUUGAUGUUAGCGGCGGACGGGUGAGUAACACGUAGGUAACCUACCUAUAAGACUGGGAUAACUUCGGGAAACCGGAGCUAAUACCGGAUAAUAUUUCGAACCGCAUGGUUCGAUAGUGAAAGAUGGCUUUGCUAUCACUUAUAGAUGGACCUGCGCCGUAUUAGCUAGUUGGUAAGGUAACGGCUUACCAAGGCAACGAUACGUAGCCGACCUGAGAGGGUGAUCGGCCACACUGGAACUGAGACACGGUCCAGACUCCUACGGGAGGCAGCAGUAGGGAAUCUUCCGCAAUGGGCGAAAGCCUGACGGAGCAACGCCGCGUGAGUGAUGAAGGUCUUCGGAUCGUAAAACUCUGUUAUUAGGGAAGAACAAACGUGUAAGUAACUGUGCACGUCUUGACGGUACCUAAUCAGAAAGCCUCGGCUAACUACGUG
Molecule: ribosomal RNA, 497 nt
Filed under: uncultured bacterium
Lineage: Bacteria
Description: partial 16S ribosomal RNA
Rfam family: Bacterial small subunit ribosomal RNA
Source: RNAcentral